This 11709-nucleotide long non-coding RNA is filed under the name Nicotiana benthamiana. Its description in RNAcentral is "long non-coding RNA (NBEN_LNC035797)". Lineage: Eukaryota; Viridiplantae; Streptophyta; Magnoliopsida; Solanales; Solanaceae. The record is from RNAcentral.
AGUUCUGAACGUUUUCCCUUGUGCUACUUUUCUGCAAAACCUCCAAACUUCUUUUUAAUUUAUAUUCCACUUUUUCGAAAGAUUCUUCUUUCCCUAGACCUUAAAUGUGUUCGACUCGUGCUAAUUAUGUGUUCUUCUUUAGAGGGAUAUUUGAGCCAUUUACAUGCUUAUUUGAUUCCCUUUAUGUGCAAAUCCCACUUGUUCUUAAAUGACGUUUAGAAUUUUAACCUUUGAACCUAUAGGUUUAGCCUAGUUCCUACCUUGUUGGAAUAGUGAUCCUAAAUUCCCUCUAGGAGCUAUAGGAUGGGACGGGUAAUAGCAUGCAAUAAGUAUUCGUGACCAAUCCACACGCUUACUCCGAGGUGGGAAGGGUAGAAUAUGGAGAUGAUGACGAUGCGAUAAUAUCAUAAAGUGACCGCUCUUUGGGAAUAUAUGCUGGAUAUUGUAUCGAAUGAUUAUAGUCAAACCUAAGACCCACCUUUUCUUUGCAUGCUUUAUUUAUUUAAAGGUUUUUCCAAAGUAAUGCUCUUUUUACAAAUCUAUUCUCCCUUCUAUUUUAUUUAACUUAUACCUUUCUCUUUUUCAAAAAUCCUAGGUUGUUCAAAUGUUUAUAUGUGAAUCUUAUAUGUUUACUUGCUUCAUCUCUUCAUAAGGUCACAUUAGCACGGUCGGGAACCACACUAGUGGAUCUUGAGAGGUGCCUAAUACCUUCCCUCGAGAUAAUCUCAAGCCCUUACCCGAACUCUGGUUUUCUUUCAAAACACCCCUCUAAUCUUUAAAAGUGUCCUAAUGCACUAUAAUCAUUAUGUGGCGACUCUUCAAAUUCCAUAACCAAUUACCAAACGGGAAUGAGAAUUGUUUUUCCCGUAAUGUCGUAACACCCGAUUUUGCUUUUGAAAAAGGGGUCGUCGAUAGCGCAUUAUAUUUGACAGUUUUGGUGAGAAAUGAGAGUAAAAGCACGAAGGGUGGUGCCGUACAGUUGUUGAUUCACUGGUUUUCUCUAUUUAUUAUUAUAUAUGUCGUUCCAUUUCUUAUUUGUUUAAGAUAUAAUUGAACUGUUACACCCCCAGCAUGUCCCUUCCCCAUUAUCUGCUUAAAUUCUUGUUCUCUUUCUGUUAUUGCACAUAUAUCUGUACAAGUUGAUUGUGGUAGGUCCGGUUUAGCCUCGNNNNNNNNNNNNNNNNNNNNNNNNNNNNNNNNNNNNNNNNNNNNNNNNNNNNNNNNNNNNNNNNNNNNNNNNNNNNNNNNNNNNNNNNNNNNNNCACUACCUCGCCGAGGUUAGGCCGGGCACUUACCAGCACAUAGGGUCGGUUGUGCUGAUACUACACUUCUGUGCCUUUUUGUGCACAGGUCAGGACACAAGCUACAGACCGCAGCAGUAGUUAGGGGGCGAUCCUUCUGUCUAGAGACUUUGAGGUAGUUCGCUGGCGUUCGCGGGCCCUGAGUCUCCUCUAUCUUUUCCAGUUUGUUUUAUUGUAUCAAAACGGAAUUGUUAGGUAUUUCUAUCAGACUGUUGCCUUUAGUACUCUUUUAGUCGCCCGUGAGUAGUGACACCAAAUACUGGGUAGAGGCAUGUUAUUAAUUUCCGCACUUUAUCUUUGUUAUUGUUUUUAAAAGUUAUCCGUGUGAUUUUUGUUUAAUUAAUUAAGUAUGUAUAUUGAUUUAGAUUAGGUUUAUUGUGAAAAUGAUUAAAAGGGUUGGCUUGCCUAGCUUCGACAUUAGGCGCCAUCACGACUCCCGAUGGUGGAAAAAUUCGGGUCGUGAAAAAUUCGGUGACUUGGGACACCAUAAAUCUCCCAAGGGGCGACUCUAAAUAAUUAAUAAAUAAAUCCCGCUCCGAUUGUCCUUUAAUUGAAAAAAUUCAUUUACGCCCAUUUGGCGGGUGUAGGUGAAAAAGUAGGUGUGACUGCUCUGGCGACUCUGCUUGGAAAAAGAACCCAGAAUGUUUUGUUCAGGGUUUGGAAUUCGAGCUUAGAUAAAUUAUUGUAUUUGGCUAUAUUUGAUUUUCCUAUAUAUUUCAUGCUUAAUGUGCUAAAUGUUACCUCUUUGAUAUUUUUUGAACUGUAUAUAAACUGUGCCAACACCCUUCUCUCCUCACCUCUCGGGAUGUGCUUUCUGGUUGAGACUCCCUAUUCUAUUAGUAUCAUACCCUGAAAUAAGAAAGAGACUCGGAUAAGUUACUAAGCCAGAUGGCCUUUUGGUUCCCGGAAAGUUUCCCCCUCCUCAACUCGAGUUGUCCGCUCGGGUACACGGUCUAGAACACCGACCCAGGUUUUGAACAUAGAAUAACGUGACUUCAUGCCGCAUCCCUAGUAGGAACGUUUAUUUGCAUCAUGUUGCAUCUGAAUUAGAGGACUCAACACAAGGUUUGGGUCCGUCUAGGACUAGCAACCUGAAAUGAAAAGACCAUCCUACUGCAUCUUAUUUGCUUCCCUUGCAUUUAUUUGUCUCGGGCCUGCAUCUGACAAGUGUUAGAAUAUCGGGAAUAUUGUAAAAAUGAGAAAAAGAGAAAAAGAGAAGAAAUAAUAGUGUAGAGAGUUAAUUGCCUUUUUUAUAAAAAAACCCAAUGCCCAAGUACUGUCGAACCUCUGCCGAAAUUUUGAGAAAAUAAAAAAAAAGGAAAAGUUUUUAUUUUGUUUUACUAAAAAGCAAAGAAAAGAUAGAAAAAAUAGUUUUUUAUUUUUGGAAAGUUGUUGAAAAAAAAAUGAAAAGGAGUCUUUAUUUUAGUUCGGAAAAAUAGGUUGUUUUAUUGUGUGUUAAAAAUUUUAAAAAAAGGGAAAAAAGAGUCGUUAUUUUGUCUUGUUUCAAAAAUAGAAAAGGAAAGUAGUUUUUUUGCCUUGAAAAAUAAAAAUGGAAAGAGCCGUGCUAUGAAAGUGGUUUUGUUAUUUGUUUUUGAAAUACCCAAAAAAGGAAAAUCAAAAAGAGUCUUGUUUUUAAAAUAGUUUUUUUCAUGAAAUGCCAAAAAUGAAAAUAAAAAAGAGUCUUAUUUUAAAAGGGUUUGCUUAAUUUUCCCGAACUACGCAGGUUUUAUUCUCACCGGAUUUGAGUUACGUAGGAAGCCUUCAUCAGGUCCAACCUCUCCUGUACAAAAAAUAGCCCAAAAAAUGUCAAAAAUUUAAUUUUUGUCAUAAAUAAACUAGGCUAUGCCGUUGUUGUCAAAAAUAGCCAAAUAUUCCCAAACGGGGCGCCGGAAGGCUGACUUUGCAUAAAUAGCCACCUUUUGUCAAGUUUUGAUUUUUAACCCUCACAAUCUUAAAAUCUUCAUCCCCGAGGCGCUGAAAGGCCAUGUUUGCAUCAUCGGGUAAUUUACUUUAAUUUUUUUUUUAAAACAAACAAGAAAAGAAUAGUAAAUAAAUCGGGUGAUGCCGUUCCUGUCAAAAAUAGCCAAAUGUUCCCAAACGGGACACCAGAAGGCUGACUUUGCAUGAACAAUCACCUUUGGUCAUAUUUUGAUUUUUGACCCUCACAACCUUAAAAUCUUCGUCAUGGAGGCGCUAGAAGGCUGUGUUUGCAAUAGUGGGUCAUUUAUUUUAAUUUGAAAAACAAGAAAAAGAGUCAGUGGUUAAGUGAAUACCGUUCGGAUUUUGGGUCAAAAUUGGUAUAUAGGGGACGAAAUCUGUCAUUUUGUUUUUGGUUUUGUAUUACGUUUGAUUAGAGUAUAUGGGUCAUUUAAUUUUCGAGUCUGUAUUUCAUCGUUAAGUUGAUCAGUUUUGUUGUUAUUAUGAAAAUGGAAAAUAUUUUAUUGUUUUUUACCUUUUAUCUGCAAGAACUACGCACGGUCUGGUUCAUGCGAGGUAAUGAUACGUAGGCAAUCUCCAUUAGAUUCGACCACAACUAAAAAAAUGAAAAAAUAAAAAACGGAAAAGAAAAAUUGAAUAAAAAAAUGGAAAAGAUAUUGUUAAUAAUGAGGAUCGACUCAAUCCUUCUAAAUGUUUUGUUUUGAAUUGUGAAGAAAGUUGAGGUGGUUGGUUUGUGGUAAGCUGGAAACACAAGAUCCAAGGAAAAUGAUAACUGACAUCGAAGCUGUUACGAGUGCUCAAGAGACUCAAGGUCAAAGGGUUCAACAUGGGUCUACUGUGGUUGAUGAAAAUAGAACUAAUGAAAAUCAGAACUGACAUCGAAACUGUUACGAGUGCUCAAGAGACUCAGGGUCAGAGGGUUCAACAAGGAUCUACCGUGGUUGAGGAAAAUAGAACCCCAAAACAACAAAUGACCAAAAUGCGUCAAGCUUGGGCCAAUGGCCAAGGACAGCCUUGUCACGAGUCACGAUUUGCUACACAGCAAAAACAAUACCACUUUCCCGAGUACCACUCGUACUCGUUUGAGCUUCCUGCAAAUAUCGCGAAGCCUGCCCGAAAGAUAUUACAGGAAGAAAUAACCCAAAGAGUGAAAAGAUUAGAACAACAGCUGAAAAACACGCAAGCAAUGGCAGGUCAAAAGGGUGUUGCCUUCAGAGAUCUAUGCAUGUUCCCCGAUGUCCACUUGCUGCCUGGUUUCAAGGUUCCCAAAUUUGAAAAGUACAAUAGACAUGGAGACCCCGUCGCCCACCUAAAAAGUUGUUGCAACCAAUUGAGAGGUGUGGGAAAAAUGAAGAAUUACAUAUAGCUUAUUUUUGGGAAAGCCUCUCGGGAUUAGCAUCUAAAUGAUUUUUGGAUCAAGACACAUCUUUCUGGUACGUAUGGGAUGACAUGGCACGGGCCUUUGUCAAACAGUUUCAAUACAACAUCGACAUCACCCCAUACCGCAUUUCCCGUUCUAACCUGAAAAAGAAACCAACUGAAAGUUUCAGGGAAUAUGCCAUCAAAUGGAGAGAACAGACAGCUAGAACUAAGACACCUAUGGAUGAACACGAGUUAAUCAUUGUCUUUCUACAGGCUCAAGAGCCAGAUUAUUUUCAACACAUGGCAUCCGCAGUGGGUAAAUCCUUCCCGGAAGCAGUAAAAAUGGGAGAAAUAGUGGAGAACGGUCUUAAGACAAGUAGAACUAUAAGUCAAACAGCUCUCAAAGCUGUAGCUUAGGUUGUCCAAAUUGAAUGUGGUAACACGAGUGAGAGGGAUGAAGAAAUCAUGAUGAUAUCAGGGUCGAGAAGAGGUCCUAGGAGAACAUCUCGAAGGUAUGUGCAUGUCACGACCCAAAAUCUAACCAUGGCCGUGAUGGAGCCUACCAUGUAACAAGGCAAGCCAAUUCCCAAAAUAUUACUACAAAUUUGAUUAUAAAUUAUUAUGACGCCAUUAAGCAUUACUAUCCACCUCAGAACCUAGCAUACUCUGUUGAUCCGCCCCAGUAUGUUGUCCAGCCAUCAAAUCACCCAAGAGAGCGAGCACGAGUAUCAUGAAAUCUCCAUAUGCCUCCGCAAAAUUUUCAAGUACCUUAUAACCCACAUCCAAGCCAGGGGUAAAGAAGGUAAUAAAAGUUGAAAGAUAGUUUUACACCAAUAAGAGAGUCAUAUGCAAGCUUAUUUGAGAAGUUAAAACAACAUGACAUGAUUGCACCCAUUCCUCCAAAUCAGGUGGACCGGCAUGCAAGAAGCUUUGACUCAACUAAAAGGUAUGAAUACCACUCCAAUGCUCUGGGCAUGAUGUGGAAAACUGUGAGAAGCUUUGACCCAUCUAAAAGGUUUGAAUACCACUCCAAUGCUCUGGGAACAAUGUGGCAAAUUGUCGGGAUUUGAAAAGAAAAAUAGAAAGAAUGAUUCAAGAAGGGGUAAUUGUAGUUAAUGACAGUGACAGAGAGCAUGCGAAUCCUCUUGGGAACUUGUUGAUUGAAGUUGAAAAUACUGAUGCAAAUAGUGGUCAUGGCAAUAUAGAUGCGAAGCUUAGUAGCUAAGAUGCUAUGCUUGGUAAUUGGAAAGACGCUCCAUUCCUAAGUCAGCCGGGGAAGAGCUUUGGUGGUCCAUUUUACUGUCAUUUCUGUUGUCCGGUUAUUUGCACGGUUGUAAUCCAGAUAUUGUCUUGUGAUCAAUCCUUUCAUUUUUGUCAAGUUUGUUUAGUUGUAGUGUAUUGUUAAGGUUGUCCAGGUCUGUUUCAGUUCAUUCUAGGGUUGUACUCCAGUUUUUUUACUUUGUUUCGUUAUUCGAACUAUUUCAUCGUUUGUCUAAUGCAAAUUCCGAUCUUUUGUUACUCCCGAUCAUUUUCUUUGUUUAGUUCUUUUCUAUUCUUUUGCUUUGUCUUUUAUCUAAUGCUGGUUCUAGUGACAUGACAUGAACAUAUAAUUCUCAGUCGGAUCUUUAAAAGCGAUGUUAGUCGGGAAGCAAUGAAAAUACUUUGAAAACGAUGGGGCACUUGAGGAAAUAAAAACAUAUUUGGACGUUUAAGAUUUUUUGACGCCUGAACCCUGUGAAACUGGGUCAAAUAGAACAUAAAAAAUCCCCGUAAAAUCAAGUUGGCCAAAUUGACAGGGGGUCGAUCGUGAAUAAGAGUAAGAGUAUUGCCCUAUGGAACAUUAUAUCUGACAGAUGUAGAAGGAAAAUGCGUAGAAAUGGUCAUCAAAUCCGAUGAGGUAAAGAGAUGAUGUGUAUGGUUUCUUUAAUCUGAUUGUACUUGUUUGUACUUGGCAUAUUUUGAAGUUUGAAAUGACGAAGGCGUUUGUUCUUCUAUCUAAAAAUUUUAUCUUUUAGACACCCUCUUUGAGUCUUAUUUGUUUUCUUUCAUACCCGUCAUUCGGAAUCAACGUGACAAUCAAAGAAACCUAGGUGCCGGAAAUAAUAAAUGGGAAAACAACGAAAAAGAAACGGAAGGAAAGGAAAAAGAAGAAGAAGAAAAAGGAAGAAGAUAAAAAAAGAAAAAGGAAGAAAAGGAAGGAAAAGAAAAGAAAAAGAAAAGAAAACAAAAGAAAGAAAGAGAAGAAAGAAGAAAAAAAAAAUGAAGAAAAGAAAGGAAAAAAAAGAAAAACAAAAAGAAAAGAAGAGAAAGAAGAUCACAACAACGCAAUUUAUAUGAUACCGAAAGGGUACGUAGGCGGUCUAUCUGAUGUUCAGUCAUACCAAAAUAAAAUCCAAAAGUCUCCAAGCAAGAAACUAGGACAGGAGUUGUGAUUGUUGAAAGAAAUCGGAUUUCGAAGUUGUAGUUUCAUCCACAUUUUGAAUUGUUUUGAGCCUUUAUAUCCUUUCUUUCUAACCCUAAUCCAAAAUCCCACAUAACAGUCCAAAGGAAGACCUUCUGAUCAGUCUUUGAGAUAUGCCACGUCAAGCAGGUGCCUGUAAUUCGUGUCUGGGGCAACACUCCGGUCCAACAAGGAAAGUAAGAAUGAAAUAGUUAGUAAUGGAAAUCUCAUGGGUAUCGUAGGGCAACGAAAGCUGAGAGAAAUAAAAUGAGAGAGUCUUAUUGGUGAAAACCUUCACAUGCACCUUGAGGCGACGGCAAGUUGAGAUAAAGAACAAAUGAGAUAGGUUAGAUGGUGAAAACCCUUAGGCACUACAAGCCGAAUAAGGAUAGCGAAUCAAAUUGGAUAAGCGGAGCAUACCCAACUUCACGGCGAAAAGGUACAAUAAGAGUUGAACAUCAAAGUUGUUUAACAGAAUAGGUCGCAGGUGCAUGUCAAGGUCAUUAGAGUCGGCAUCCACAUCCCAUAGGUUUCUACUUUGUAGUUUACUUGUUAGGAAUCAUCUCUUUCUAUUGUCCUUUACUCUGUUUCUUUUGUCUUGUUUACUUCCUCUUCCUGAGUCUUUUUUUUAGUUAUAACAAGUGAGAAAUGAUUUCAAAAUUUGCCACCAGCUUUCUAAUUGCACAAAAUGGGGUCUGUCUAGCAUAUCAAAGCACCACAAGUUAAGAAAAACAACAAGAGCAUUGGGCUGGUAAUACCCAACAUGCUUUGGGGUGAGGCACAAGGAUUGGUUAAAGUCAGUACAGAAGCAGUGCAAAAAAUAGAAGGUAGAAGAUUUUGAAUGCAGCAGAGGUGUGUCCUGUGAUAAGGGUGACAAAAGAGGUGGUUAGUCCAGAAACAAGCGGGGUUUUCAAAUGAAAAUGAAAGUUAUCGGCAAGUAAGGGAGCAACAGACCUCAUGUCCAAGGCCAUCAGAUAAGCUAAGAGACAUCAACAUACUGUGGGGGGCAACAAACGUGCUUUGGGAUCCUUAUGAAACACAAAGGUUUGGUACAUUAGGUAUAUUCCGUGGUAAGAUUGACAAAAUUGGUUAACCAAUGACCAGAAAGAUCUUCAAGAAGAAUUAGCUGUCAAGAAACAUAUGGGGCCAGAUAAGAAGAUUAGAAGUAAUAAUUAAGAGGUAGUCGUCAAGAAGGGUGGAAGUUAUCAAACAAGCUCCAAAGAUGGCCUGACAACGCGGAGCAUGGAAUGGUGAAAAGGAAAGUCAUCCCAACGGGAGUACCACAACCAACCAUCGCACUUUAAACUGACAGAAUUUUCUUUGAUUUGAAUCAGGAGUAUGGAAAUUUUAUUGAUGGCAGAAAGAUAUGCUACAGGAGGAUUAUCAAACUGAGGCAGAAAAUUUUCUGUCGUGUUGAAAAUUUUCUUGAAUUCGGUGUACCCAUCUGAAGAACAAAAAGGUCAAUACAAGUUUUUUUUUUUAAAAAGGAAAAAGAGAGGGAAGUAGUUUUCAAGAAAGAAACACCAUUUUCAAGAAAAGUAAUUUUCGGAGGAAUGAAACGCCAGUUUUUAGGGAAGUGGUUCUUAAGGAGAAUAAUUCAAUUUAGAAGGUAGUUAAAACAAGUUCGGAGGAAAUGGUUAAAAGAAAGAUGUUAGUCUGAUGAAUUUUUCACCUAAGAUGAAGAAAUAUUAGUCUAUUGAAUCUUUCACCUAGAUAAAAAUAUAAGUCUCAUCAAUCUUUCACCUAAGAUAAAGGCAGAAGUUGGAAAAAUGAAAGGAAAGCAUAAUUUGGAAAAAUGGGAAGGAAGAAGUUGGAAAAAAGAAAGGAAGGUAUAAUUUGGAAAAAGAAAGGAAGGCAGAAUUUGAAAAAAUAAAAAAGAAAGGAAGUUUGAAUUUGAAAGAUUAAGAAGGUAUGGAUUCGAAAAAUUGGACCUAGUUUGAUUAUUUAUCUCUAAGAUAAAAAUCUUAGUCUGUUGAAUCUUUUACCUAAGAUAGAAAUCUUAGUCUGAUAAAUUUUUCACCUAAGAUAAAAAUCAUAGUCUGUUGAAUCAUUCACCUAAGAUAAAGAUAAAAAUCUUAGGCUGAUGAAUUUUUCACCUAAGAUAAAAAUCUUAGUCUAUUAAAUCUUUCACCUAAGACAAAAAUCUUAGUCUGAUGAAUUUUUUACCUAAGAUAAAGAUAAAAAUCUUAGUAUGUUGAAUCUUUCACUUAAGAUAAAAAUCUUAGUUUGAUGAAUUUUUCACCUAGGAUAAUUUGAAGUUGGGAGCCCGUCCAUAUAACAGAGGAAUACAUUUCAGUCUUUAUAUUUUGAAUUUCGAAACAUUUCAGUAUUUAAAUUUUCAGGUUUUGAGGCUGGAAGCCCGUUCAUAUAAUAGAGGAAUGCAUUUAGUCUUUAAAUUUUAAGUUUUGAUGCAUUUCAAUCUUCAAAUUUUAUGUUUUGAAACAUUUCAGUCUUUAAAUUUUGAAUUUUGAAUUUUGAAACAAUUUAGUAUUUAAAUUUUCAAGUUUGAGGUUGGGAGCCCGCUCAUAUAACAGAGGAAUACAUUUAAGUCUUUAAAUUUUAAAUUUUAAAACAUUUCAGUCUUUAAAUUUUCAAGUUUUGGGGUUGGGAGCCCGUCCAUAUAACAGAGGAAUGCAUUUCAGUCUUUAAAUUUUAAAGUUACAUUUCAGCCUUUACACUUUAAGCUUUGUAUAUGGUAACAAGCACCUAGUUUUCCAAACUGGGGCAGAAAAUUUUCUUUGUUCUAUUUUUGAAAAGUUGGGAGCCCGCCCAUAUAACAGAAAAAUACAUUCAAGUCCAGCAAUUUAAAGAGAAGGAACAAUAUCUCAGUUGACCAGUGAAGUAACAACAAUGGUUUCACCAAGAGAAUACAAGACAACAAGGAAGUACAAGAACAAGUUUGAAGAAUUUAGAUAUGAUCUUCUAAUUCAUAGUUCAUAACUUAUCUAGCUUCUUUUAUUAUGCCAUGGUGUAAUAAGGAAGGUCAGCAAGCAGUAGCAGCAGCAAUCGCAGUGAAAUCACAGCUCCUGGUACUCCCAGCUACCAGACACUUCCGAACUACACUGAGCUGAUUUUUGUUUAGCCCAGGAUAUGUAAACAACCUCCGAAGCAGAAAGCUGUCAACUCUUUAAAAUGCUUCAUAUGGAAUAUUUAAACAGGCAAAAAUCGCUCGUAUUUGCUCACUUAUCUUUGCAUGAAAACCAUUCAUGUUUUCGAGCAAAGAGGGGCAGUUGUGAGCACGUGAUUUUUUUCCUAUAUAUGAAUUAUUCCCAAAAACUCAAACAAAAUAAUUUCUUUAUUAUUUGUGCAUUUAAAUCAUAUGGAAAAUACAAAAAAAAUACAUUUAGCAUUUGCAUUUAGGGUUUAAUUUUAUAUUUUAGGAUUAAUUAGUGAUUAACUUUUUUUAGAAUAAAAUACUAUAAUAAAAGUGGUCCUUGUUGCAUUUUUAGUUUAAAUUUAUCUUAGUUUGCAUUUAAAUUAGGAAUUAGUGUAUGGGAAAUUAGGAAAUCUAAAUUUUAAUGUUAAUUUGAUAUUAAGUUUUAAUUUAGAAUUUAAAUAAAAUAAAAAAAUAUAAAAUACAAAAGGAAAACAAAAUAAAUUAAAGCAAUAAAAGUAGUAAUUACAAAAUGAAAAAGAACAAAAGGAAAAGAAUUGCUUAUUAAAGGACCAAUUUUUUGGGCCAUUUUAUUUGAAUAAGAUUAGGCCCAAAUUAUCCCCUCGAAUAUUCGACCCAGUAGCUGCCCAAACCCGUCUGACCCUCUUCCCCCUUUAAUUAAAAAAGAGCACGCAAAAAUUGGUAGGACACGAAAUAAAGAAAUCGGAAAAAACCCUCCUUUCUCUGAAGAACAGGCACGGAAAAUACGUGACCCUUUUUCCCUAUUUCUUUUCGAUCCGAGCACCUCUAUUAUCUCCAUAUAAAAUCAGCCAUAACACACACACACACACUAAGGAAUCCACACCAAAACAAACCCCCUAAAUUCUAGCUUUCUACACUAGAUCUGAAGAAGAAAAAAAAAACAAAAAAAAAAGGGAUUUAAAAGGCUUUCUGAUUUUCUGUUGGGUUUACUAGGAGAAUUUUUGGGAUUCUCAGCUGUUUUUGGAUUGAAGUAAAGGUCAACAUUGAUGUUCUUCUGCUGUUUGCUAUCAAAAUUGUAGCCGAAUUUCCUUCAUCUCCAUUUUUCCCUUUUAUCAGCUGUUUCAAGCUCUAUUUCUCGAGUAUUUUAGCCGCUCUUGCUGGGUUUUGCUGAGGUAUUUUGAUGUCUAUUACUAUUGUUGCUAUUCCUUGCGAUUAGCUGCUUGUUUCAACUUGUAGCUGUGCUUUUCGGCCUUACUUGGCUAUUUGAAAUUUUGUCGCUGUGGUUAAGCUACUGUUUCCCUUCUCGGUCAUGUAAUUUUCAUUUUUGGUUCAAUGAAAUAUGUUUACAAUGAUGUGGUAGUGCAUAAUUAUAUGCUUCUUUGUUAUUUUUAGCAGUUCAUAUUAUUGUGUUGUGUUAUGUCAUUAAUUGAUCGUAUGUGGCUGCUGAUGUAUGUCCAUUUUUAUUCAUAUUUUAUGAAUACAGUUAAUGCCAUCAUGUUUGGUUGAGAUAUAGAUGUAUAGAUUUUGGUGUUUUUUCUUAGAAUCAGUAAAAUACUAAAUCGGUGCUUGCUUUGUUGCUGUUGUUUGCUGGA